UGGGGGAUAUUGCACAAUGGGGGAAACCCUGAUGCAGCGAUGCCGCGUGAGGGAAGAAGGUUUUCGGAUUGUAAACCUCUGUGGAGGGGGACGAUAAUGACGGUACCCCUUUAGGAAGCAACGGCUACCUACGUUCCAGCAGCCGCGGUAAUACGUAGGUGGCGAGCGUUGUCCGGAAUUACUGGGUGUAAAGGGAGCGUAGGCGGGAAAGCAAGUCAGAAGUGAAAAUUAUGGGCUUAACCCAUAACCUGCUUUUGAAACUGUUUUUCUUGAGUGAGUCAGAGGCAAGCGGAAUUCCCAGUGUAGCGGUGAAAUGCGUAGAUAUUGGGAGGAACACCAGUGGCGAAGGCGGCUUGCUGGGGCUUUACUGACGCUGAGGCUCGAAAGCGUGGGGAGCAAACAGG
Molecule: ribosomal RNA, 404 nt
Filed under: uncultured bacterium
Lineage: Bacteria
Description: bacterial SSU rRNA
Rfam family: Bacterial small subunit ribosomal RNA
Source: RNAcentral